RNAcentral lists this ribosomal RNA (838 nucleotides) under uncultured bacterium. RNAcentral's name for it is "bacterial SSU rRNA". It matches the Rfam family "Bacterial small subunit ribosomal RNA", at positions 524 to 1381 of the family's 1533-position model. The record is from RNAcentral.
UACGAGGCAUGCAAGCGUUAUCCGGAAUUAUUGGGCGUAGAGCGUUUGUAGGCGGGCGAGUGUGUUUAAUGUUAAAUCUUAAAGCUCAACUUUGAAAUUGCGUUAAAAACUGCUUGUCUUGAGUAUGGUAGGGGUAAAGGGAAUUCCCAGUGUAGCGGUGAAAUGCGUAGAUAUUGGGAAGAACACUAAACAGCGAAGGCACUUUACUAGGCUAAUACUGACGCUGAGAAACGAAAGGUAAGGUAGCGAAACGGAUUAGAUACCCGUGUAGUCUUACCCGUAAACUAUGGACACUAAACGGUAAAUUUUUAAUUUACUGUUAAAGCUAACGCGUUAAGUGUCCCGCCUGGGGAGUAUGCUUGCAAAAGUGAAACUCAAAGGAAUUGACGGGGGCCCGCACAAGCGGUGGAGCAUGUGGUUUAAUUCGACGGUACACGAAGAACCUUACCAGGAUUUGACAUGCUAGAUAGUUGCUUGAAAGAGUAACGUGCCGUAAGGAAUCUAGACACAGGUGGUGCAUGGCUGUCGUCAGUUCGUGUUGUGAAAUGUUGGGUUAAGUCCCGCAACGAACGCAACCCUUGUCUUUAGUUAUUUUCUAAAGAGACUGCCUGUAAUAAACAGGAGGAAGGUAAGGAUGAGGUCAAGUCAUCAUGCCCCUUAUGUCCUGGGCUACACACGUGCUACAAUGGGAAAGACAAUGAGCUGCAAAUCUGUAAAUUUAAGCAAAUCUCUUAAACUUUCUCGUAGUUCGGAUUGUGGGCUGCAACUCGCCCACAUGAAGUUGGAAUCGCUAGUAAUCGCCAGUCAGCUAUAUGGCGGUGAAUCCGUUCCCGGGCCU